AGGAAAUAACAACUCUAGGAUUUCUUAGAAGUGUAAUGAGGAUAAUUUACAAACCUUACCGAAUGCAAGUUGGAGGGCAAGUCUGGUGCCAGCAGCCGCGGUAAUCCAGCUCCAAUAGCGUAUAUUAAAGUUGUUGCAGUUAAAAAAGCUCGUAGUUGAAGUUCUGAUUGCUCAGGUUUCCAGCCUUAGGCGGAGAUACUGACAGUCAUCCGCUUGCAAACAUAUGUUCGAUCUUCACCGGUUGGCUAUGUGAGUAAGCACUUUACCUUGAGAAAAACAGAGUGUUCCAGGCAGGUUUGUCCGGGAUGCAUUAGCAUGGAAUAAUAGAACAUGACUGAAGUCGAUUUAUUGGUUUAAGGCUUUAGUAAUGAUUAAUAGGAACAGUCGGGGGCAUUCGUACUCAGCAGUCAGAGGUGAAAUUCUAAGAUUUGCUGAAGACGAACUAAUGCGAAAGCAUUUUGCCAAGGAUGUUUUUCAUUAAUCAAGAACGAAAGUUAGGGGAUC
Molecule: ribosomal RNA, 504 nt
Filed under: uncultured eukaryote
Lineage: Eukaryota
Description: SSU rRNA
Rfam family: Eukaryotic small subunit ribosomal RNA
Source: RNAcentral